This 254-nucleotide ribosomal RNA is filed under the name uncultured bacterium. Its description in RNAcentral is "partial 16S ribosomal RNA". It matches the Rfam family "Bacterial small subunit ribosomal RNA", at positions 524 to 776 of the family's 1533-position model. The record is from RNAcentral.
UACGGAGGGUGCAAGCGUUAUCCGGAUUCACUGGGUUUAAAGGGUGCGUAGGCGGCUUAAUAGUCAUUGGUGAAAGCUCGCAGCUCAACUGCGAAACUGCCAUUGAAACUGUUAGCUUGAAUGUGGUUGAAGUGGGCGGAAGUACAACAUGUAGCGGUGGAAAUGACUUAGAUAUGUUUAUGAACACCGAUUGCGAAGGCAGCUCACUAAGCCAAUAUUGACGCUGAGGCACGAAAGCGUGGGUAGCAAACAGG